GAAAGAAAGGAAAAAAAUAAAAUAAAAAUGUUGAUUGUAUUCAUUAGCUUUGGAAUAUAAUAUCGACGAUUUAUACCUUGUCGUUGAUUUGCCUCGAGCAUUCGACAGAUGAGCGUAAUAUGUUGUUAUGAAAAACUACGACAAGCGCCAAUUUAUAAUGGUACUAAAUAAACCCAAAGUGCCUCUGGUAGAUUUUUGGGCAUGUAAGCUUGAGUAAUAAGAAUAAUAAUAAUAAGAAUAAGGAUAAUUAAAAACGAAACGGAGAAAAGGAAGGAAGCGAAAAAGAAGAAAAAAAAGAAAACAAACUAGAAACGUUUAUUAACGAUAACGUGACACAAUUUACUAACAAAAUGAUAAUAAAGACCAUAUAUAGAUAGAUAGAUAGAUAGAUAGGUGAUAGGCUGUAGUCUGUGUCUGUGUCAGUGUCUGUCUGUCUGUAUCCCAUCCUGAGUGUCCUACCUGUCCUCCCUUUGAAUGUUACAUAUUAAUGAAAUAAGAAUAAGUGAGAAGUAAGGCAAAGCAUAAUGAAACCGCAGAAUGAGAAAGAAGAUCAUAAGAAUAGGUACCGUACAAGCAGUUGAAAUAUAAUGAACACCAGAUCGAGAAGGACAUCCUUGAGAAGGACAAAAUAAAAAUUGAACAAGCAAAGAGGAAAAAAAAAAAAAAAAAAAAAAAAAAUGGCCUCCGUAAAAUUUUUAACAAUUAUAAACGAUUCUUCAUUAAUCAUUGAAAUUGAAAUUAUUAUCACUCUACGAAGAUGAAACCGCCACGUUACCCUGUCGUAAAUGCAUACAA
Molecule: long non-coding RNA, 795 nt
Organism: Diprion similis
Lineage: Eukaryota; Metazoa; Arthropoda; Insecta; Hymenoptera; Diprionidae
Exons: 2
Source: RefSeq, a predicted model, not a curated record